UUAUACCACAUUAGUGGUGCGUUUAUUUGAUUAAACCAUUUAUAUUGGUUGACUCAAAAUAUCCUCGCUGAUUUUGUUACUAAAACAUACCGUAUGUGUAUCUGGUUUAUCAACUUUCGAUGGUAGGGUAUUGGCCUACCAUGGUUGUGACGGAUAACGGAGAAUUAGGGUUCGACUCCGGAGAGGGAGCCUGAGAAACGGCUACCACAUCCAAGGAAGGCAGCAGGCGCGAAAAUUACCCAAUUUUAGUUAAAAGAGGUAGUGACGAAAAAUGACAACCAAAUAUUAUUAUUAAUAUUUGGAUUGAAAAUCUUCAAGUUUAAAUAACUUGUUGGUAAAGGAAAGGGCAAGUCUGGUGCCAGCAGCCGCGGUAAUACCAGCUUUCCAAGUGCAUAAAAUGAUUGUUGUGGUUAAAAAGCUCGUAGUUGGAUUAUAAAGAUUGUAUAAUGAGCAUCUUGGAUGUUAUUAAUCAUUAUCAUCUUAUAUUUUUAUUAUAUUAGAAAUAAUAUA
This 510-nucleotide ribosomal RNA is filed under the name Strongyloides procyonis. Its description in RNAcentral is "SSU rRNA". It matches the Rfam family "Eukaryotic small subunit ribosomal RNA", at positions 174 to 718 of the family's 1831-position model. Lineage: Eukaryota; Metazoa; Nematoda; Chromadorea; Rhabditida; Strongyloididae. The record is from RNAcentral. RNAcentral also lists the same sequence under 1 other name.